GUCUAUAGCCAUACUACCUUGAAUGCACCGGACCGUGUCUUAUCCUGGAGGCUAAGCAGGGGUGGGCUUGGUUAGUACUUGAAUGAGACACCCCUGUGAAUAUUGGGUGUUAUAGCUU
Molecule: ribosomal RNA, 118 nt
Organism: Microcebus murinus (gray mouse lemur)
Lineage: Eukaryota; Metazoa; Chordata; Mammalia; Primates; Cheirogaleidae
Source: Ensembl